UGCUUGGAAUUGAAGGAGUUCAAUAAUUGAGAAUAUCCAGAAGUCACUAAGAUGGUAUCAUGGAGAUGACAUGGCUGGUGAAAAAAGCUUUUUGUAUGGACCAUCACCGGCAAAUCAGCGGAUAGAAAGAUUCUGGCGGUCUGCAAAACAGGGUGGUUGUCAGUUCUGGAUGGAUUUAUUUAAGGAUUUAGAAGCUUCAGGAGAGAUUAAUACCGAAAAUGGCCAAAACAAAGAAUGUUUCAGGUUUUGCUUCACAAAUCUCAUUCAAAAAGACUUAGACCAAAUCCGUAAAGACUGGAAUCAACAUAAGAUGAGACCAACUAAAGGGGCAGAGUGUCCUGCAGGCAAACCAGACUUGUUAUAUUUUACUCCACAAUUGUUUGAUACAGUUGAUUACAAGACCGAAGUUGCUGUUGAAGAUCUUGAUAGUUUUAGUCAGUUUUGUAAAUUUUAUGGACCCAACGGUUGUUUAAGAGAAUUUGAAAAUGUAUGCUCAGAAUUGUUAGUGCAGGCCGGAAAAGAGAUGCCAAAUGAUCCAGAAGAGGCAUUAGAAUUAUAUAGUUGGCUAAAAAUGAGAAGUGACUAAUUAAACAUACAGUGUUUGUGGACCCUCUAGAGGGUACAAUUUUUAUAUGAUUUUGAUGAAACUUGAAAUGUAUGGUUAUAGAAUAUAACCCAAAGAUCUUGAUUUCUUUCGAUGUGGUCCCUCUAGAGGUCACAAUUAUUAUCCGAUUUACAAAACCGUUCCACUGUAUAUUUCACUGUUACAUAGUUAUGAUGGUUGAGCUCGAAUUUCAUAAAAAUUGGACUGAUAGUGUAAAAGUAGGUUAUGUAAUACCAUGGUUGUUAAUCAUCUGGAGGUCACA
Patella vulgata (common limpet) is the source of this 866-nucleotide long non-coding RNA. RefSeq lists it as uncharacterized. The transcript is spliced from 5 exons. NCBI's taxonomy places the organism in Eukaryota, Metazoa, Mollusca, Gastropoda, Patellidae. The record is from RefSeq and is a predicted model, not a curated record.